Labeo rohita (rohu) is the source of this 226-nucleotide long non-coding RNA. RefSeq lists it as uncharacterized. The record is from RefSeq and is a predicted model, not a curated record. NCBI's taxonomy places the organism in Eukaryota, Metazoa, Chordata, Actinopteri, Cypriniformes, Cyprinidae. The transcript has 2 exons.
ACACAAAUAACAAAUGCAUUGAUGAUCAUACUGACAGUAAAUAUCCAGAGGUUUCCCAUGACUGAUGCAGAUGUUCUCCUGAAUGUUUCUGGAGGCAUCAACUAGUUUGUGCUUCAUAAACGCAGGAGAUUGAUAGUGAGUCUGCAGGUGAGUUUGACAGAAGGAGGCCAAACACUGCAGACAGGACUUUACAGCUCUGUUCUUCUCUGUAGUGCAAACAUCACAC